UGGGCUGCCCGACACAUUGACUUAUUUAUCACUCAGUGUCCCCUUGGAUGGAGGAGCAAGCACAGUAAGACCAAGAUAAACCAGGAUCCUGUUGACUGUGGUUUUGCUUUCAGAACUGGACUCAGAGCCUUUCAUUGGAUGGAAGAACCCUUCCAAGCCAGAGGGUGAUGCUUUUGAGAACCUGGAAAGCAGCAAGGCAGAGGGUCUAGUCAGUCAUCUACCUCUGGCCUCAGGUGUCCAGAGACAGAACAAUACUACAAGAAGACAUCUGUUUGGCAAACGCAAAAUUGCAUGUCGCUUCCCUGGCCUGCAGAAGUAGGACACAGAGAAUCCACAUUUAUUUAUGCACUUCUAGCAAGAUAAUGCUGAUUUUGAAACUGUCUCCCACACACACACACCAAAAAAAAAAAAAAAAACCUCUUUUCCAUUAAUGAAGAAAACAGACAGCAAAUCAAGUUAAAACCAAAGAGAUUUCUGGAGGGAUCUGUUUGAGAAUUGACAUCAGAACCACAAAGCACAGUCUGCCACCUUUACUUUACUAACAUCUGCACGGAUUGGACAAACCCAGCACUCAACCUCCACUGUGAACCAUUACUAAGAAGACCAAUGCCAGAUACAUACACUGUGCUAGAGACUUAGCCUUGACCUCUAGAUCCACCAAGCACACGGCCAGCCAGGAACACCUGGAGGAGCUGAGCUCACACUGCACCUUCUUUGCCAUCACACAAGCUGUGCUGGAAGCAGACAUCAGGGUCUGGGCAGUGCUCUUGCUGGAGUGUUUAACCUGAGCUCAGUCAGGAGGGAAUUCUCAGACAACCAUAGAAUUUAGACCUCAUAGUGAGACACCUGACCUGUCUGUCUGCAAAGUUUUCAUGUCACCACCAAUAAGAUGACAAAGAGGAAAGGAGCUAUUUGGACACCAAGUGCACAGAAGAAUUGUGUUACCUCCUUUUGCCCUUUUGAAGCCCAAAUAUCUCCUUCCCAUUUUGCGCGAACUUUCUGGUGGUGAUGUGGGUUCUCUGAGGAUAGCUGGUCAGUGUCUCGCUCAGUGGUCACUUCUGACGCUAUGUAAUGAUGUUUUCAAGACUAAACUCGGGCUGCCCCUUCAGCAAGAGCACAACUAAUGCUGUAUGGACACUUCCUGCCACAGCUCACUCUGAGAACCAAGUGUGCAGCUAGUGACUCUGAUUGUGACUUUUUCUUAUGAUAAUCUCAGUCCUCUUGAGAGGACAAAGAUGCUCAUUAUCAAAUCACACUGUAAUAUUUCUGUCGCAAUAGUGUAUUAUUAAUUUCUGAAGGGUAGUUUAAUAUAUUUUCUAAUGAUCUGUAUCAAAGAUA
Molecule: long non-coding RNA, 1338 nt
Organism: Erinaceus europaeus (western European hedgehog)
Lineage: Eukaryota; Metazoa; Chordata; Mammalia; Eulipotyphla; Erinaceidae
Exons: 2
Source: RefSeq, a predicted model, not a curated record